CUUCAAUGGAGGCGAUCUCAUUCUCAUUCACUCUUCCAGCCGGGGCACUGCCGUCUGCCAGGCAAGAGACACAACUCAGAAUUCACUGCCAAUAGCAUCCCGGACUCAAGUCGACGAUCUCUUCUUACUCAAGAAUGAAUCAAGAAACUACCAUUGCCACCGGCAUCAUCUUCAAAAUCGAAUCCAAGUUUUCAUGUGCUGUCAUUGUUUCUGAGCCAUCUUUAUGCAAAAAUUUCUUACUGCGAGUGCGUUACAGGGGAAGGUUUGAUGUCUACACCAUUUGUUUCUCCUGUUAUCCUAAAGAAGAAGGUAACUGUGUGCUUUCAUGAUUCAUCUGCAAUGUGCUUUGAGCAUCGUUAAUGAAUAUCACAUGAUGUUUUACUA
Tripterygium wilfordii is the source of this 384-nucleotide long non-coding RNA. RefSeq lists it as uncharacterized. The record is from RefSeq and is a predicted model, not a curated record. The transcript is spliced from 2 exons. NCBI's taxonomy places the organism in Eukaryota, Viridiplantae, Streptophyta, Magnoliopsida, Celastrales, Celastraceae.